AAUACGUUCCCGGACCUUGCACACACCGCCCGUCAAGCCAUGGAAGCUGGGUGUACUAAAGUCGGUAACCGCAAGGAGCUGCCUAGGGUAAAACUAGUAACUGGGGCUAAGUCGUAACAAGGUACCC
This 127-nucleotide ribosomal RNA is filed under the name uncultured bacterium. RNAcentral's name for it is "partial 16S ribosomal RNA". It matches the Rfam family "Bacterial small subunit ribosomal RNA", at positions 1365 to 1501 of the family's 1533-position model. The record is from RNAcentral.